GAUGAACGCUAGCGGCAGGCCUAAUACAUGCAAGUCGAGGGGUAGUGGAGCUUGCUCCACGAGACCGGCGCACGGGUGCGUAACGCGUAUGCAACCUACCUUCACCUGGGGGAUAGCCCGGAGAAAUCCGGAUUAACACCGCAUAAAACCACAGUACCGCAUGGUACAACUGGUCAAACAUUCAUGGGGCGGAGAUGGGCAUGCGUGCCAUUAGUUAG
Molecule: ribosomal RNA, 218 nt
Filed under: uncultured bacterium
Lineage: Bacteria
Description: partial 16S ribosomal RNA
Rfam family: Bacterial small subunit ribosomal RNA
Source: RNAcentral